UACGAAGGGGGCUAGCGUUGCUCGGAAUCACUGGGCGUAAAGCGCACGUAGGCGGAUUGUUAAGUCAGAGGUGAAAUCCUGGAGCUCAACUCCAGAACUGCCUUUGAUACUGGCGAUCUCGAGUCCGGGAGAGGUGAGUGGAACUGCGAGUGUAGAGGUGAAAUUCGUAGAUAUUCGCAAGAACACCAGUGGCGAAGGCGGCUCACUGGCCCGGUACUGACGCUGAGGUGCGAAAGCGUGGGGAGCAAACAGG
RNAcentral lists this ribosomal RNA (253 nucleotides) under uncultured bacterium. Its description in RNAcentral is "partial 16S ribosomal RNA". It matches the Rfam family "Bacterial small subunit ribosomal RNA", at positions 524 to 776 of the family's 1533-position model. The record is from RNAcentral.